This is a long non-coding RNA of Bombus huntii, 3616 nucleotides long. RefSeq lists it as uncharacterized. The record is from RefSeq and is a predicted model, not a curated record. The transcript has 3 exons. Lineage: Eukaryota; Metazoa; Arthropoda; Insecta; Hymenoptera; Apidae.
UCGAACAUUGGCCAGAAUAUUUAGUGGCUUUCUACCAGAAAUAUUUGGCAAUCUUCAGUAAUUGACCUCAUUAGCGUUUACUUUUGCAUUAGAGCUCUACAAAUUAUGUGCCUAUCUUUAUUCCUCGAGAGGACAGCUUUUUUCCUAAUUCCUGUUGUGCCAGGCAAAAAUUACAAUUUUCAUUCGUUUCUUUAUUUUUAUUUUAGAAAUGAAAGAUUUCUCCUUCUCUUUCUUUUCACGGUUAUAUCUAUUUUAUUUACAUGCUGUUGUUAUUUUUAUUAUUAGUUAACAGAUAUUAAAUAGUUAGGCGUGAUGUUAACCAUAUAUACGUAUGAAAGUGAUUGAAAUUUUUAUAGAACAUCGUAAUAUCAUAAUUCCUUAUCUUUUUUACGUGAAUUAAUUCUAUAAAAAAAGCUUAAUGUCCUAUUAGACAUUUUUGUAUGCACAAUGUAUCAGUUUGAAAUAGCAUGUGAUAUUCCGAUGAUAUUAUGGAUAACUUGACUAAAUUUUUAAUAGCAAGCUGACAUUAAUAUUUACACUCGUAAAUUAGUAAAAUGUGGAACUGCAACUAUGCCUAAAGCUUCGCAAGCCAUAAACGCCAUGAACAAUAUGUUAAUGUUAACGUGGAAUGUUGAAGGUAGAAACGUUUACAGAUUAAACGAUACAGAACAAAAGUUUGCUAUAUUUAACGAUCCAGAACAUCAUUUUCACUAUUAUUUUCAUGACGCAUUUGAUUCGCCAAUUGAACCUAAUUACAUACAGUUUCGUUGAAAGGUAUAAGCAUAUUUGCUCGAUUACAAUAAGUAUGUAUUUAGGACAAGUUAUGAGAUACUAUAACGAAUUUCACAUAAAUUUUAUGUAUUUUUUUUAUACAAUGUUGAAGUACAAUGUUAAACUAAUUUGUCAAAUUCAUUUUACUUAAAACAUGAAAUAAUAAUUAUAGUCUUUGUGAUACAGGUGAGAAAAGGACAAUCGAUAUCGUUUGGUAAAAGGUUUUAAAUUUUCAUAUAUAGGAAAUCUUUUUUAAUAUGAAUGUUCUAUUUCAAUUAAAUUUUAUAGCUUAUAAAUAGAGAAAUAAAUAUUAUUCUUAAUACAUUUUCCAAACAUUCUUUGAAAUUAUAAUCGCAUCUAUAACAGAUGACUGCUUGACGUAAGUACACAUUGUGUGUGCACGCAGUAGUUGAGAACAUUCUAUAGUCAGACACAAGAAACAUUAUGAAACAGGUAAGUCCUUUACGCUUCGUCAUACAUGCUUCACUCAGAAUGAAUUAUGGUACGAUAAACAUUUUUAUUCGGGAACGUCGGAAAAAGAAAAUAUUUUAGCUAGACCUCUGUUUGUAUCAAUUUCUAUUCUACUUUGAAAAUAACAAAUUGUAACAAACAAUCGCUUAACAAAGACGUUUGAAAGCAUCAAACUCGAAUACACGUAAUCGGAUGUAUGAUAUUGUACGUGCUUGUUUAUCGCAGUAGUACGUAAACAACAGUGUUCUCCGUUACAUGUUUCAACUAUUCUACAAAAAAGCAGUGAUACUACGUUAAUUUGUAUUUGUCGCGUGUAACUAAUAUUGCUUUAUACCACGUAGGAAAUACUAUGAAGACGUAGACAGUAACGGAAUUCGGAAUGUAUGGAAAUAGACUGGUUGCGCAACAUGCUUGGUAAAUUAAGAUUCUGACGCGCAUAAAUGCCAUACCGAUGUUUAUUGCGAGACUUUUAAAACAACGCCUGCUCAUAAUGUAAAACUAAUAUACAUAUAAGCAUAAAUAUAAAAGACUUUGAAAUUUUGUGGAUUACAUCGCCGAUCACAUUGCCGAUGGCUUCGCGUGAGAAAGACGUAUAUUCUAUGAAAGGACCCAAGAUGGAACUUUCUAUCGCAGUAACUUUGCUAAGAAAAAAACGAGGAAAGAAGGAAAAAAAUUAAAAAAUAAAUAAAGUAAAAAUAAAAAAAAUGAUCAGUUGAAAUUUCUCGUUGUUAGAUCAAAAGGGCGGACACCGGUUAGCUUUUGCUGUAUCCUCGGUAACAUUUUGCUAUAUCUAAUUUAAGAUUUUAUUCAUUCCCUUCAAUGUAGAGAGAAGCUUUUACCACAAAAUCUUUUUAUACUAGCAGCAUAUAGUGUAUAGAUGUAUAUUAGGGAUUUUUGUUUAAAGACAAUAUCGAGUCUGUAUAUAAUCGGUUUUGCUAGAAGAACGAUACAUCUGAAAAAUGUAUCCAUUACUACAAUUCUUUCGUUUACUUAAUCACCUUCGUGAGUUUACCAGUUGUUUGAACUCGAAGGUCAUUCGAAGAUCAGCAUAUUACACAUGACUCAACUUAUCGUUUUUAUAAAUCACCUAAUAUGCUGACAAAAUUAUAUCGUACGAUUGAAAAUGUAACGAUGAUCGACCGAAAGUGUUGAAAGAUACGACCUUGAAAAAGAAGGAAAGUAUUUUUUUUUCUAGUUUCCUUUCCUUGUUUCAUUUCUCUUUCUGGAGAGAACGCCAUCUUACCUUUACAUCUCUUUAUAUCGUCUAAUAAAACAACAGAGUGGAAAAAUGAAUUGGAAGUUGUUAAUUGUAUAUGAAAAGAAAAUUUGUAUAAUUCAUUCCAGUAUCGAAAUUCCAGGAUGUGUUUGCUAUUACGUUAAAGUCGGUCGCACGAAUGCGGACAAACAACGUCGAAAAGGACGAGAUAGAGGCAGCGCGGUCUUAGUUAGAAGACAGAUAGCGAAGUAAGAGCAGAAGAGGCCGAAUCUAAGAUUAUUUCGGGAUUGGCCGGAGAUAAACCGGGCCAACGUCGACCGAACCAAGUGAAACGAAGUGAACGGAGCCUUGAGGUUUGAGUCAUCUUUCUGAACUCGAAUUUGGCUCGUUCGCAAAAUUACGCACAACACCGUAAUAAUCAAGCAUUUCUAUAUUUCCGUGCAUUAUUUCUUUUUCCUUUUGGAUUUCAUUUUCUUUUCCUAUCUACUCCCCCUCCUCCUCACCCAAUCCCAUCCUAUCCUAUCCUAUUCUAUUCUAUUGUAUGUUAUUCUAUUCUAUUCUAUUCUCUUCUCUUCUCUUCUAUUCUAUUCUACUCUAUUCUAUUCUAUUCUAUUCUGUUCUAUUUUAUUCUACUCUGUUCUAUUCUAUUCUAUUCGGCAAUCCUUCCUGAUCCUAUUAUUAUAACUCAUGCACUUCCUUUAUCAACGUUUUCUUUCUUACUAUAUUCGGAAAUUAUUAUACUAUGUGAUAAAUAGAGGAUCGGUUAAACGUUUCAUAAAUCUUCCAUAAAAAUUCCUUCUAUUAUACAUACGUUCAUUGAUAUUUUAAUUUUUCACAGUUGCCUUGAAAAAAUUUAAUUUUAUGUAAUAGACACUUUCAUACAUGUCCCUUCGAGUCAGAUUAAUUACUGUCAUAAAAUGGAAACAAUUAAAACCGCACAAUUUGCUAGUAUAAAAUCAAUCCUAACAUAAUACAAACGUAAUACAACCACGAAUGCGAAUAAAUAAUAUAUAAUAAUCGUAUCAAUAAAUAUUUGAUGAAAAUAAAAACGAUACAUGAAUCGUAGAAAGAUUGAAAUAUACGUAAAUCGAAGUAAGAAUAUUGAGUUUUAUACCUUUGAUGUUUUUAUAUAUUAACUUAUAAAUACUCAUAUACUAU